AGCAGCCGCGGUAAUUCCAGCUCCAAUAGCGUAUAUUAAAGUUGUUGCAGUUAAAAAGCUCGUAGUUGAAUUUCGGGAUCAAUGCGUCGGUCGUGCCUUCGGUACGUACUAGCGUCAUUGGUUCCUCCCUUCUGAAGAACCGUGAUGUCAUUAAUUUGGUGUUACGGGGAAUCAGGACUGUUACCUUGAAAAAUUAGAGUGUUUAAAGCAGGCUAACGCUUGAAUACAUUAGCAUGGAAUAAUGAAAUAGGACGUUCGAACCUAUUUUGUUGGUUUCUAGGAUCGACGUAAUGAUUAAUAGGGAUAGUUGGGGGCAUUAGUAUUCAAUUGUCAGAGGUGAAAUUCUUGGAUUUAUUGAAGACUGACUACUGCGAAAGCAUUUGCCAAGGAUGUUUUCAUUAAUCAAGAACGAAAGUUAGGGGAUCGAAGACGAUCAGAUACCGUCGUAGUCUUAACCAUAAACUAUGCCGACUAGGGAUCGGAUGAUGUUAAUUUUAUAAUGACUCAUUCGGCGCCUUAC
Molecule: unclassified non-coding RNA, 520 nt
Filed under: uncultured Glomus
Lineage: Eukaryota; Fungi; Glomeromycota; Glomeromycetes; Glomerales; Glomeraceae
Description: SSU rRNA
Rfam family: Eukaryotic small subunit ribosomal RNA
Source: RNAcentral